UAUCUCUUGUGUUGUGAUGAUUCCUCUC
Molecule: non-coding RNA, 28 nt
Filed under: Homo sapiens (human)
Lineage: Eukaryota; Metazoa; Chordata; Mammalia; Primates; Hominidae
Source: RNAcentral